RNAcentral lists this small RNA (89 nucleotides) under Mustela putorius furo (domestic ferret). Its description in RNAcentral is "7SK RNA (ENSMPUG00000021895.1)". The record is from RNAcentral. Lineage: Eukaryota; Metazoa; Chordata; Mammalia; Carnivora; Mustelidae.
GAGGUCAGUCUGGAUGUGAUCUCUCAUUCUAGUAAUCACCAGAGUUUAUUUGGCUGAUCUGGCUAGUUAGGAAGUUUUUCUCUUUUCUC